GACGAACGCUGGCGGCGUGCUUAACACAUGCAAGUCGAACGGAAAGGCCCUGCUUUUGUGGGGUGCUCGAUUGGCGAACGGGUGAGUAACACGUGUGUAACCUGCCCUUGUCUUUGGGGUAACUUCAGGAAACUGCGGCUAAUAUCGGAUAGGAGCUCCUGCUGCAUGGUGGGGGUUGGAAAGUUUCGGCUGUUUGGGAUGGACUCGCGGCUUAUCAGCUUGAUGGUGGGGUAGUGGCUUACCAAGGCUUUGACGGGUAGCCGGCCUGAGAGGGUGACCGGGCACAAUGGGACUGAGAGACGGCCCAGACUCCUACGGGAGGCAGAAGUGGGGAGUAUUGCACAAUGGGCGGGAGCCUGAUGCAGCAACGCCGCGUGCGGGAUGACGGCCUUCGGGUUGUAAACCGCUUUCGCCUGUAACGAAGCGUGAGUGACGGUAAUGGGUAAAGAAGCACCGGCUAACUACGUG
This 468-nucleotide ribosomal RNA is filed under the name uncultured bacterium. RNAcentral's name for it is "partial 16S ribosomal RNA". It matches the Rfam family "Bacterial small subunit ribosomal RNA", at positions 28 to 507 of the family's 1533-position model. The record is from RNAcentral.